GGGAUCUCAUAGAGAGUUUGGUCUUUGCACGAUGGGCUUCAAAGACUGUUACAGCUUCAGCAAGUUGUGUUCAGAAACUGGUCGUCUGUUACAUUUCAGAGUCAUCAUUUCGGGAGAGGGAGAGAUCGACUGAUUGCCAUUAAAGAUUCGUUAAAGGAAGUUGGGGACGUGCUUAUGCUCUUACAGCCACAUCAAUAUUGUCUGUCUUUUUCUCCUCUUUUUUCUGACAGAUUGCUGUUUGAUUUUGCAUCU
This 252-nucleotide unclassified non-coding RNA is filed under the name Hevea brasiliensis (rubber tree). Lineage: Eukaryota; Viridiplantae; Streptophyta; Magnoliopsida; Malpighiales; Euphorbiaceae. The record is from RNAcentral.